Molecule: ribosomal RNA, 253 nt
Filed under: uncultured bacterium
Lineage: Bacteria
Description: partial 16S ribosomal RNA
Rfam family: Bacterial small subunit ribosomal RNA
Source: RNAcentral
UACGAAGGGGGCUAGCGUUGUUCGGAUUUACUGGGCGUAAAGCGUGCGCAGGCGGUUAUGCAAGACAGAUGUGAAAUCCCCGGGCUCAACCUGGGAACUGCAUUUGAUACUGAGGAGCUUGAGUCCGGGAGAGGUGAGUGGAACUGCGAGUGUAGAGGUGAAAUUCGUAGAUAUUCGCAAGAACACCAGUGGCGAAGGCGGCUCACUGGCCCGGUACUGACGCUGAGGUGCGAAAGCGUGGGGAGCAAACAGG